CCCAGAACUAGUAAGUGAGCUAGCAAAGUUACAGGAUACGUUGUCAUAUACAAAAGUCAGUUGUAUCCUAUGUACUAUCUAUGAACAAUCAGAAUUUGAAAUUUUAAAAUAUAACAUCUACAAUAUUGCCAAAAAUGAAGUACUUAGGGGUGUGUGUGUGUGUAUACAUAAAUAUGUGUGAGAUCUAUAUGCUGAAAAAUUUAAAAAAGAAAAAUAAAAGAUCAUCUAAAUUAAGCUUGUCCAACCCACAGCCUGCGGGCCACAUGCAGCCCAGGAUGGCUUUCAGUGUGGCCCAACACAAAUUCGUAAACUUUCUUAAAACAUUGUGAGAUGUUUUUGUGAUUUAUUUUUUUUGGCUCAUCGGCUAUCAUUAUUGUUAGCGUAUUUUAUGUGUGGCCCAGUACAAUUCUUCUUCCAAUGUGGCCCAGGGAAGCCAAAAGAUUGGACGGACACCCCUGAUCUAAAUAAAUGGAAAGACAGAC
This 482-nucleotide long non-coding RNA is filed under the name Homo sapiens (human). RNAcentral's name for it is "HSALNT0282388". Lineage: Eukaryota; Metazoa; Chordata; Mammalia; Primates; Hominidae. The record is from RNAcentral.